Ribosomal RNA from Loxodonta africana (African savanna elephant), 118 nucleotides. Lineage: Eukaryota; Metazoa; Chordata; Mammalia; Proboscidea; Elephantidae. The record is from Ensembl.
GUCUAUGGCCGUACUACCCUCUAUGCCCCGGAUCCGUCUGAUCUCAAAAGCUAAGCAGGGUCAGGCCUGGUUAAUACUUGGAUGGGAAACCUCCUGGGAAUACCAGGCUCUGUAGGCU